ACGUAGGGUGCAAGCGUUAAUCGGAAUUACUGGGCGUAAAGCGUGCGCAGGCGGCUUUGCAAGACAGAUGUGAAAUCCCCGGGCUCAACCUGGGAACUGCCUUUGUGACUGCAAGGCUGGAGUGCGGCAGAGGGGGAUGGAAUUCCGCGUGUAGCAGUGAAAUGCGUAGAUAUGCGGAGGAACACCGAUGGCGAAGGCAAUCCCCUGGGCCUGCACUGACGCUCAUGCACGAAAGCGUGGGGAGCAAACAGG
This 252-nucleotide ribosomal RNA is filed under the name uncultured Diaphorobacter sp. Its description in RNAcentral is "partial 16S ribosomal RNA". It matches the Rfam family "Bacterial small subunit ribosomal RNA", at positions 525 to 776 of the family's 1533-position model. The record is from RNAcentral. Lineage: Bacteria; Pseudomonadati; Pseudomonadota; Betaproteobacteria; Burkholderiales; Comamonadaceae.